This 72-nucleotide microRNA precursor is filed under the name Pteropus alecto (black flying fox). Its description in RNAcentral is "microRNA pal-mir-378d precursor". Its record names the gene pal-mir-378d. Lineage: Eukaryota; Metazoa; Chordata; Mammalia; Chiroptera; Pteropodidae. The record is from miRBase by way of RNAcentral.
UCUGAAGGUCUUGCCAGUGAGCUUCAAUGACUGAUUCAUCAAGAGGGCGGGCACUGGACUAGGAGUCAGAAA